RNAcentral lists this microRNA (23 nucleotides) under Cordylochernes scorpioides. Lineage: Eukaryota; Metazoa; Arthropoda; Arachnida; Pseudoscorpiones; Chernetidae. The record is from RNAcentral.
UUGAAUGUAGGAUUCGUCUGGAC